This 76-nucleotide transfer RNA is filed under the name Clostridiales bacterium. Its description in RNAcentral is "tRNA-Phe". It matches the Rfam family "tRNA". Rfam says of the family: Transfer RNA (tRNA) molecules are approximately 80 nucleotides in length. Their secondary structure includes four short double-helical elements and three loops (D, anti-codon, and T loops). RNAcentral also lists the same sequence under 3 other names. Lineage: Bacteria; Bacillati; Bacillota; Clostridia; Eubacteriales. The record is from RNAcentral.
GCCUCGAUAGCUCAGUCGGUAGAGCAAAGGACUGAAAAUCCUUGUGUCACUGGUUCGAUUCCGGUUCGAGGCACCA